UGGGGGAUAUUGCACAAUGGGCGAAAGCCUGAUGCAGCGACGCCGCGUGGGGGAUGAAGGCCUUCGGGUUGUAAACUUCUUUUGCUCUGAACAAUGCAUGCUUUUGGGGUGUGUUGAGUGUAGGGGUUGAUUAGCGCCGGCUAACUACGUGCCAGCAGCCGCGGUAAUACGUAGGGCGCGAGCGUUGUCCGGAAUUAUUGGGCGUAAAGGGCUUGUAGGUGGCUGGUUGCGUCUGUCGUGAAAGCUCAUGGCUUAACUGUGGGUUUGCGGUGGGUACGGGCUGGCUUGAGUGCAGUAGGGGAGGCUGGAAUUCCUGGUGUAGCGGUGGAAUGCGCAGAUAUCAGGAGGAAUACCGGUGGCGAAGGCGGGUCUCUGGGCUGUUACUGACGCUGAGGAGCGAAAGCGUGGGGAGCGAACAGG
RNAcentral lists this ribosomal RNA (420 nucleotides) under Fusobacteriota bacterium. Its description in RNAcentral is "Fusobacteria bacterium partial 16S ribosomal RNA". It matches the Rfam family "Bacterial small subunit ribosomal RNA", at positions 355 to 776 of the family's 1533-position model. Lineage: Bacteria; Fusobacteriati; Fusobacteriota. The record is from RNAcentral.